GGACUCCCUUUGUGAGGCCUGUCUCCCGCCACCCAGAGGCGAUCAGCACGUGCCCAUGCCAAACGCAUCCCGGUCAGCCGGCCGUCCGGUGGUUUCAGAUCAGCUCUUUCCCGUCCCCGUCCUACAUAACCAAGUCCGUCCCUCCUUAUUGCCAAAUGGCUCCGGGAAUGCCUGCGAGAGACGGCCCCCGCCGAACGGUGCUUCUGCUUUCGGGAAUCAAGGAGCGCGAUCUGAAUCUCACCAAGAUAAACUCGCGGCUGGGUCAAUACAACGAGUGGUCAUUGAGGGUGCCCUGCGCUUUAUCUAUCUUUAGGCCUCGUUCCUGCAGGGGAGUGGAAAUGUAUCACCUGAGUGAGGAGCAGCCAGGGGCCUGCGGGGAGGCGGGGAGGAAGGAGCAUUUGUGAGCGGCCUCCUGCAGGGAACAGGAGCCAACCCAGCCAGGCCCUGGUUGCUGGCAGAAAAGCCACGCUGCAGAAACGGAGGCAAUAUAAAAGGAAAAUCACCCCUUCUGGCACUGUCUGGGGCCUGGGGUUCACGGGUGGUGCGAGUCCUGCCAGGUUUCUGGUGAUCAGCUCCACGUUUUAUGCAGGGCGCUGGGGGCCACCCGGGAGAGGGGCUUUCCAGGGUCCCUCCACCCUGGAUGGUGCCUGGAAACCGUGUCUCCAGCUCUCUCUCCCCCCAGGUUCACAGUUAUGAGACCCUUCUGUCCUUGGGAGUUAGGGGGUGGCCUGCGGUCUCUGUGAGCUCAGGAACUGGGGCAAAAGGGAAGAGGAUCACUCCCAGCAGAAGCCGCAAGAGCCGGAGCGCACUGCGGGAUGACGCUCUCUCAGCGGACAAGAAAUUAAAUGGGAAGACGUCAAGUCCCUUGCCUGAAGGCUCCAUACCAGCACAGCACGAAACUUCCCAGCGCCCACUUUGCACUUGACCUUCAGCGCUGCGGGUGGAAGAAACCCGGCCACGAACGCUUCACGGUCGGGUCAUUGAGAAGGCCAAGUGGCACUCGGUGAUUCCACUGGACGGGGACCAAGACCCCAAGCCAGGAGUUGUUAACAUCAUAGACCAAAGACUGAGUUUGGCCCCAAAAUAUAAUCCGCUCGCUCCAUAAUGAUGAAGCAGAAGACGGUCCACAGCUACAUCCUCAGUACCUAGAACAGGACCUGGCACCCAAGAGGUGUUCGAUCACCACUGACUAAAUUGAUGGAUGGAAUAAAUAAAGGUGUCCAGAGGCGGUACUAUGGAUGGCCUCUGGAUAGGAGGCAUUCUCUAGAGACAGGAAGGACUCGGCUCCCUUCCAUACAGAGGUCUGGCAGAGAAGCAAGACCAUGGAGCUCCCUCCACGAGGGAUCAGCAACCUGGCAGCUGGAAGGAGACAUGAAAGAUGGGGGUGAGAAGGUGGGUCAGGGCUUCACACUGGUUUUAAACCACGGGGCGGAGGCUCUCCAGCAACACAGCCUCCGCGUAUGUCAUGCCCGGCCUCUGCCUUCUGGUCUUCUCUCUCUUGCAUUCACGGAGGGCUUUGGGCUUUGCAAAAGACACAUCAGAGCUGACUGUUUGAAGCCACAAAUCCCCUCCCAGGACAUGAGAGCAGAGCAGAGUGUUUGAUUUCUCUGAUGUCUCCUCCUUCAAGCUCCCCCUUCGCUGAGACUUAGGGGAUUUGCCGCUUCUUUGCUGAAACGACACAAGAGGUUUUUCCGCUUAAUCCCCAGAUCUUUAGAGUUGGGGCUGCCUUCGGUUUGUGUUUCAAGAGCAUCACAGAGUAAUCUGUGACACUGAGCUCCGAGCUCUCAGCACAGGGAGCGAGCUGGGAGGAUUCGGGAUGCUCAGAAAGCUUUCAAAAUGAGGCCAAGAGCAGCACCCGCCAGCGCUCCCGGUGAGGUCACGGUCUCAGCUUCUGCUUGCAGACAGGGCUGUACUGAGUAACCCCGUCCUGCUGGCUCAUGAUGCUCGAACCCUCAGCCCCACUGGGCCAAUCCAAUAGGCUCUUCAGAACUGAGCUAGGAGCUGUUAAUUAUUCUGGGACGGUCACUUGGACCACACCCCAUUACCCCAUGUGGAAGUAGGAGCUCUGUGUAUUUCUUUUUAUUUUUUUGGUACCAGAGAUUGAGCCUAGGGAACUCAACCACUGAGCCCCAUCCCAGCCCUAUUUUGUAUUUUAUUUAGAGACAGGGUCUCACUGAGUUGUUCAGUGCCUCCCUUUUGCUGAGGCUGUCUCUGAACUUGCAAUCCUCCUGCCUCAGCCUCCGGAGCCACAGGCAUGUGCCCCUGAGCCUGGCAGGAGCUGUGUGUAUGUUAAAACUCUGUCAUCGCUCUGCAGAGAGCGUUACAGUUGACCUCCAGCAUCUAUCCUGACGACUGUCUGGUAACUGUGUCUUCUCCUCUGAGACUGGGUUUGCUUGAUUCUAUCUCUGGGAUUCAUUAAAUGACCUAGAUGCUUCUGAGAAAUGCCUCUCGUUGAUGUAAGCAAGUUGAAAACGGAUAACUUGGGAUCAAAGCAUCCCGAGUCCAAGAAUGGUUUCUUUGAACCACAAUGGGACAUUAACACCAGACCCUACCCUCCUGCCGGACCAGGGAUCAUGACAUUCAUGAGCCAACAUGGAAGAGGUGAGAGGCUCCUCAGUCCACACAGCAGCACAGAGUUCACAGGAUUCUUUCAGAAGCAGGUGUACGAGGAGACGACUGUGGUACAGAAAUCACCAAUUCACAGACAACCCGGGAGAGGGGUCUUGCUCACACGAUCUGAUGGCAUUGAAAGAUUUUGGUUUUGCUUAAGUGAGUUAAUAUAGGAAAAUGGGAUAAAAUAUAUAAAACAUUUAAUAUCAUAUAUAUAAGUACCACCUAGUGUUGAUCAAUAAAUCUAAUUAUUAUCUCGAGGACAAUGGGAAGUACCCAAAAAAUGGGUUUUGGAUUUUGAAGAGCCACCCCCGCCUUGAUUGUGGGUGGAGAACAGAUUGGUCUGGAACCUCCCUGGGGACAGGAGGCAGAUGCAAGUCUAUUGCUGUCUUCAACACAAGAGGAGCUAGUCCCUACGGAGAGGAGUCUCAAUGGGUACCAACAACUCAGACAGACAUUCCAGGGGUGACACUGGCGUGAUUCCAUGGCGGUCUGGCUCUAUGGAAUCGCCACGCCAGCAGCUCAAAGAUGACUUUGGGAUUUUCUACUGAAUCACUGGGUGGUUGGCCCAGUCCUCCAUGAAGACAGGGAAGAGCAGAGAGAGCAAGGUGGUCCCUGGAAGGUCAUGACGUUAGCCUUUGGGGACGAUGAGUGGGAGAUGAAUUUAAAAUAUCCCCGUGAAGUGGCCAAGCCAGCAUUUGGGUAUCGAUGUCUGAAGCUGAGUUGGGGAAUAAUCUAAAAAGGAAACCUUUCAGGUUAUCACUGUUCCAAAGUGGAAGCCGUGGGUAGACGUGGGACGCUCCGCAGGGGUGUCCAGGGUCACAUUCCCAGCAAAAGCCAAUGGCAUCUACUUCAGCGUGAUGGAUGCUACCGCCCACCUAGAACGCUCCCCCCCUAUGCCUCAAACCCAGCUCGAUAGUAUUUACUUAUUGAACAAACCAAUCAAUCCAUCAAUUCAUGGAGGGGAUUGAAAGCGAGAGUAACCCAUUGGGUCCUUCUGCAGAAACACUGAGAGAGAACCACAGCCUGCAACCAACCUUUAUUUCCUGAAUUCUGGACUCUGUUAUCUA
Non-coding RNA from Ictidomys tridecemlineatus (thirteen-lined ground squirrel), 3680 nucleotides. The record is from RefSeq and is a predicted model, not a curated record. NCBI's taxonomy places the organism in Eukaryota, Metazoa, Chordata, Mammalia, Rodentia, Sciuridae.